GACGAGGGAUCCUAGCGUUGCUCGGAAUCAUUGGGCGUAAAGCGGGUGUAGGUGGCUUGACAAGUCAGGUGUGAAAGCCCAGGGCUCAACCCUGGAAGUGCAUUUGAAACUGUCGAGCUUGAGUGCUAGAGAGGUUAUUAGAAUACCUGGUGUAGUGGUGAAAUACGUAGAUAUCAGGUGGAACACCGGAGGCGAAGGCGGAUAACUGGCUAGACACUGACACUGAGACCCGAAAGUGUGGGGAUCAAACAGG
RNAcentral lists this ribosomal RNA (253 nucleotides) under uncultured bacterium. Its description in RNAcentral is "partial 16S ribosomal RNA". It matches the Rfam family "Bacterial small subunit ribosomal RNA", at positions 524 to 776 of the family's 1533-position model. RNAcentral also lists the same sequence under 1 other name. The record is from RNAcentral.